AGCUCCAAUAGCGUAUACUAAAGUUGUUGCGGUUAAAAAGCUCGUAGUUGGAUCUUGGAGUGUGAGUGAAUGGUCGAUCGAAAGAUUGUACUGUUCGGCACACUCUUCUCUUCGGUUGCGUGUGUAGUGCCCUUAACUGAGUGCUGCACUCGACCGGAAUUUUUACCUUGAAAAAAUUAGAGUGUUCAAAGCAGACCUGAUUAUGUCUGAAUAUUCGUGCAUGGAAUAAUAAAAUAAGAACUUGGUUCUAUUUUAUUGGUUUUCGGAACUCGAGUUAAUGAUUAAGAGGGACAGACGGGGGCAUCCGUACUCUGCCGUUAGAGGUGAAAUUCUUGGAUCGGCGGAAGACGCGCAACUGCGAAAGCAUUUGCCAAGAAUGUUUUCUUUAAUCAAGAACGAA
RNAcentral lists this ribosomal RNA (400 nucleotides) under phytoplankton environmental sample. RNAcentral describes it as "partial small subunit ribosomal RNA". It matches the Rfam family "Eukaryotic small subunit ribosomal RNA", at positions 587 to 987 of the family's 1831-position model. The record is from RNAcentral.